CGCAGAGGGCCCGAGGCCCCGGAGGCGGCCCCCUCCCGGCGCCGCGGCGUGGCCGUGCCCCGCACACAGCGUCGCUGCACCGCCACGACGGCCCGGAACCCUUAAGGCCCACCCAUAAGAUGCAGGUGUGGCCAGGAGUCAGCAAUACUAACCUCACGACUGAUCUUCCCGUGACAGAUUUACAAUAAAUCGAAGCACCUCCAUGGAGCAGGACAAAAAAGCAGCCCUCAAGAUGGAGCCCACGCAGGGGGAAUCUCAGAGAAAGCCCACCCAUCCCUGAUCAGUUCUGAUGCUAUCUCUGGGUUUGUGAUGGAAGGACUGAGAUUUCUCUGACCUUGGACCCUUGAAGAGUCUAUAGGAAGGGAAGCAGGUCUUGGCCGCAAAGCCCUUGACAUGCAUCCGGGCUCCACCAAGAAACCACCGUUUCCCAAUGACAUUGGGGGAAGUCCCCUGCAUCUUCAGUUUCCUCAUCUGCCCAAGGGAGGAGGAUUGUAAAGAAGACUCUUAACAUCUCCAACCCGGGGCUCUAAGUGUGAGGGAAGGCAGCACACGGAGAUUCUUGGACUUCAAAGGACCCUGGGGGCACUUAGUUUCACCUUGAGAAAGGUGCACAUCUCUUUCUGAAAUGCGGUCCUUUGCUAAGCAGUUUGGUAGUAGAAUUAGGCACGCAGACCCUGGAAACAGGCUAUCCAGGCUCAAAUCUGACCUAGACCUGCAGUAUACUACCCAUGUGACCUUGGGCUACUUUUACUCAGUCUCUCUGUGCCUCAAUUUCCUCAUCUCUGAAAUGGAGAUUAAUAGCAACACCUAUCUCACAGGGCACUGGAGGGUUUAACUGAGCUCCUGCAUGUAAAGCACUUAGAAGCAUGCCUGGCACAGGGUAGCUGUUCCUAUGAGUUGCCCAAACCUCUGGAUGCAACCUCAGCCCUUGCCAGUCUUCUUGGUUCUCCUCCACUGACUGCCAUCAUUUCUGUCCCAGCACCAGUGCCAGGAUCUCUGCCUCCUCUAGGUCCCAGCUCCUGCAGGAAUGGGAUGGAGGAGGGCAGGACGCCUGUGAAUUGCCUGCUUGAUGAGUACUUUGUCGGAGGAAUCUCUUUGUGCCAGUGCUUUACUUAUUUUCUGCUAGGGAAGGAAGUGGAGUCAGUGUCUCUUCCUUUCUCCUCAAUCCUACCCAGAGAUGAGCCAGCUGCACGAAAACCUGUGCCCUUGGCUUUAAGGAGGAAGAGAGGGAGGAAGAUCUAGUUGAUCCAUCCCCACCAGGAAGGAUCCUGUUCAGAGGCAGGUAGUUUACUGCACAGAAGUAUUAAUGUUACUCUCUCUCUCUCUCUCCACACACACACACACACACACGCACACGCACACACUCACACUCACACCAGCUCCCUGAGGGCAGGAACUCUUCUGUUGUGUAUUCUGCUGUAUCCCAGCGCCUUAAAAUAUUGUCUGGCACAGAACAAGCACCUCAAUAAAUAAUCAAUAGAAGGACCAGAUCUGCUUCUGUAGCAGGGUUAUUUUCCACAUUGGGAGGUGAUGGUCAGAUUGUGUAGCCAAGAAAAGAACACACUUCCAAGUUCUCCCCUUAAUAGUUUAAUUCUCUCAUUUAUCUAAAGGGGCCCCUCUUUUGACACUUCCACCACGCACACACCUCUAAGCGGUUAGGCUCCAGGAGAGACAAGAUUGCAAGGGUCUGUAUUUCAUUUACUACCUUCAAAGACAUUGGGAAAUCCAUGUGACCUCCUAGGGGUUCGGUGAUCCGCCCACGGAAAGGAGCUGGUCCACAGUUGAGGCCCCUCCUUGGUUGUUUGGUUAAAGCACAACGAGGAGACCAACUGGUGUCAGUGUUUUCUUUUCUGAGGGGGGAGGGACCUUGUUUUUUGG
Canis lupus familiaris (dog) is the source of this 1878-nucleotide long non-coding RNA. RefSeq lists it as uncharacterized. The record is from RefSeq and is a predicted model, not a curated record. The transcript has 3 exons. Lineage: Eukaryota; Metazoa; Chordata; Mammalia; Carnivora; Canidae.